CCUUCCAAGGUGUAGUGGUCAGCACGCUGGGUGCGUAUUCCAGAGGUCCGUGGUUCAAGUCCUCGCGGAGGCG
This 73-nucleotide transfer RNA is filed under the name Stegodyphus mimosarum. It matches the Rfam family "tRNA". From Rfam's summary of the family: Transfer RNA (tRNA) molecules are approximately 80 nucleotides in length. Their secondary structure includes four short double-helical elements and three loops (D, anti-codon, and T loops). Lineage: Eukaryota; Metazoa; Arthropoda; Arachnida; Araneae; Eresidae. The record is from Rfam by way of RNAcentral.